Molecule: ribosomal RNA, 252 nt
Filed under: uncultured bacterium
Lineage: Bacteria
Description: partial 16S ribosomal RNA
Rfam family: Bacterial small subunit ribosomal RNA
Source: RNAcentral
UACGGGGGGGCCAGCGUUGUUCGGAAUUACUGGGCGUAAAGGGCUCGUAGGCGGCCAACUAAGUCGGAUGUGAAAUCCCCAGGCUUAACCUGGGAACUGCAUCCGAUACUGGAUGGCUUGAAUCCGGGAGAGGGAUGCAGAAUUCCAGGUGUAGCGGUGAAAUGCGUAGAUAUCUGGAGGAAUACCGGUGGCGAAGGCGGCAUCCUGGACCGGCAUUGACGCUGAUGAGCGAAAGCUAGGGGAGCAAACGGG